RNAcentral lists this ribosomal RNA (837 nucleotides) under uncultured bacterium. Its description in RNAcentral is "bacterial SSU rRNA". It matches the Rfam family "Bacterial small subunit ribosomal RNA", at positions 41 to 911 of the family's 1533-position model. The record is from RNAcentral.
GGCGCUGCUACCAUGCAGUCGAGCGAUUUACUUCGGUAAAGAGCGGCGGACGGGUGAGUAACGCGUGGGUAACCUGCCUCAUACACAUGGAUAACAUACCGAAAGGUAUGCUAAUACAGGAUAAUAUAAGAGAUUCACAUGGAUUUCUUAUCAAAGCUCCGGCGGUAUGAGAUGGACCCGCGUCUGAUUAGCUAGUUGGUAAGGUAAUGGCUUACCAAGGCGACGAUCAGUAGCCGACCUGAGAGGGUGAUCGGCCACAUUGGAACUGAGACACGGUCCAAACUCCUACGGGAGGCAGCAGUGGGGAAUAUUGCACAAUGGGCGAAAGCCUGAUGCAGCAACGCCGCGUGAGUGAUGAAGGCCUUCGGGUCGUAAAACUCUGUCCUCAAGGAAGAUAAUGACGGUACUUGAGGAGGAAGCCCCGGCUAACUACGUGCCAGCAGCCGCGGUAAUACGUAGGGGGCUAGCGUUAUCCGGAUUUACUGGGCGUAAAGGGUGCGUAGGUGGUUUUUUAAGUCAGGAGUGAAAGGCUACGGCUCAACCGUAGUAAGCUCUUGAAACUGGAAAACUUGAGUGCAGGAGAGGAAAGUGGAAUUCCUAGUGUAGCGGUGAAAUGCGUAGAUAUUAGGAGGAACACCAGUAGCGAAGGCGGCUUUCUGGACUGUAACUGACACUGAGGCACGAAAGCGUGGGGAGCAAACAGGAUUAGAUACCCUGGUAGUCCACGCCGUAAACGAUGAGUACUAGUGUCGGGGGUUACCCCCCUCGGUGCCGCAGCUAACGCAUUAAGUACUCCGCCUGGGGAGUACGCUCGCAAGAGUGAAACUCAAAGGAAUU